AUAAGAGUUUAAUUCUCGUUCCUCUCUUCAUUUCUCAGAACACCCCAUCCUUCGCGGGCUCCUCAUCCAUCCCCUCCAAAUCCUUCAUCGGCGGCACCUCUCUCCGUUGCACCGCCGUUGCCUGAAGCUCCAUCACACCCCUUUUCUAAUCUCUCCGUCACACCCGGUCACCAGUCUCUCUCUUUCAUCUUCGACGCCGAUUAAUUUUGCCACCCUCUCGACACUGUUUUCCGUCGCUGCUCGUUGAAGCUCGUCAGCGUCGUCGCCGCUUCUACCUUUUCUUCUCGUCACCGUUGGUUCAGACACAGAGAUGGCAAGCUUUCUGUGAAGGAACUCCAAUUUGUUGAGCAUUGAAUUGAAUCAGAUUGGGUCAUAGCACAUGGCAUCAUGGCUUUGAUCUUUUGGUGUAAUGUGCAAUCAUAUAAUGGAUCCUGAUACAAAUAACCAUGUUGAGAAGCUGAAGGAAUGGAUCAUAUAAAUUUUGAAACUAUGAGUUGAUUGAAUCUUCUAUUCAUUUUGUUAAAUGACAUGCUGAUAACUCUGCUCUGUCACAAGUAACUUCAGAUGUGAAACUUAGUGGCAUCAUAUGAUAGAGGUUUUGUUGUUAAUGAGAAACCUCACUGUCAACUUGUCUAGCCCUGAAUUUGAGCCGUUUUAUUUAUUGCAGUAUUAUUCUCUCUUCUGUGAUUUGGAAGUUGUAGAAGUAGUUAGGUGAUAUGUUAAGAUAGAAUAUUGAAAGGUUCCUUUUUUUCUCCUUCUGUUUUAUGACCUUCUUUUCAGCUUAAAUAUUAAUAGAAAAUAAAAUUAACUUUGUCUAUGACCUACUUGGCUGAGGAGUGAGGAGCAGAUACUCCGGGAUGAUAUCAAGUUUGGUGGAAAAGCCCAAACAGCUUUUCAUGAAAGAUAUCAGGUUAGUGCACUGAUUGAUUCUAUGAAUUUGUCAAAUAGGAAUUGGUUACUGACCUGGUUAUUUUGGUGGCAAGAUGCUGCCCAAGUAUAAUGCCACUGCCACGUUAAGGUUGGUUUCAAAUUAAUAAGGAACAUGAUUUAUUUCCUUUUUUCUUUUCAAAGGUGUUUUUCUUUUUGGUAUAUAUACUGCAAAUGAAUUUGAUUUUCACUUUUUGGGUCUAUUUGGUUUAUGCUUUUAUUUUCUGUUUGGUAUAAUAGGUAUUCAUUUCAUGCAAAGAUUGCAAAUGCUGAUUAGUUUUGUUGGCUUAUAUGAUUUGG
This is a long non-coding RNA of Arachis duranensis, 1227 nucleotides long. RefSeq lists it as uncharacterized. The transcript is spliced from 4 exons. Lineage: Eukaryota; Viridiplantae; Streptophyta; Magnoliopsida; Fabales; Fabaceae. The record is from RefSeq and is a predicted model, not a curated record.